GCGAAUCGGUAAAAAGCCACGCAGCGCGGCAUGCGCGUGGAAAAAGUCAUGAAAACGAAUUGAAUUUAAUGCGAAUUUAAAGACGCGGAAGCACCUACCUAUCAUUGAGUUUCGAGCGCAGAAAACAACCUACGUCGUCGGCCAUCAGGUGCGGCGGCAGGAUGACAAAAAUAUUUUUUAUCGCUUUCAUUACGAACGCGACCACGCCGGCGGAGCAUUGAAUUUUUUGUUUAAUAAUCGAGUGUGUAAUGGUACUUAACGCAAUGCAACGUGUGCAGUCGUGCCGCGUGAGUGUGAAUAUCCUUUUACUGCUUUAAAAACAUCUGCGCCGGAAAAGCGCAUGCAGCAAGUGCACAUUACUAGCGGGAUUUAUAAGGAGUGAAGAACUAUGGUCCAUGGGCGAGCCAAGCGAGCAAUAAAUGAGUGAAUUAGCGCAAAAAGUGCACCGGAUGCGAGCUUUCCAGUUUGCUUCCAGACUUUACUGAACAAGUGCGCCAAUGAGUGGACUAAUUUGAGAGCAUUAAUUAAAAGUUUCGCAUUCUCUUCGCGAGCACUAGUAAUUAAUCUAUUGCGCCGCCAUCGCUGGUUGCUAUAUUGCGUCGAUUGUGUAAUAAAUAUGGGAAUGCAAAAAUAGUGAAACUGUAAA
This is a long non-coding RNA of Dalotia coriaria, 646 nucleotides long. RefSeq lists it as uncharacterized. NCBI's taxonomy places the organism in Eukaryota, Metazoa, Arthropoda, Insecta, Coleoptera, Staphylinidae. The transcript is spliced from 3 exons. The record is from RefSeq and is a predicted model, not a curated record.